RNAcentral lists this ribosomal RNA (502 nucleotides) under uncultured bacterium. RNAcentral describes it as "partial 16S ribosomal RNA". It matches the Rfam family "Bacterial small subunit ribosomal RNA", at positions 28 to 507 of the family's 1533-position model. The record is from RNAcentral.
GACGAACGCUGGCGGCGUGCCUAAUACAUGCAAGUCGAACGAACCGCGACUAGGUGCUUGCACUUGGUCAAGGUGAGUGGCGAACGGGUGAGUAACACGUGGGUAACCUACCUCAUAGUGGGGGAUAACAGUCGGAAACGACUGCUAAUACCGCAUAGGACAUGGGAUCACAUGAUUCUGUGAGGAAAGGUGGCGCAAGCUAUCGCUAAGAGAUGGACCCGCGGUGCAUUAGCUAGUUGGUAGGGUAACGGCCUACCAAGGCGAUGAUGCAUAGCCGACCUGAGAGGGUGAUCGGCAACAUUGGGACUGAGACACGGCCCAAACUCCUACGGGAGGCAGCAGUAGGGAAUCUUCCGCAAUGGACGCAAGUCUGACGGAGCAACGCCGCGUGAGUGAAGAAGGUCUUCGGAUCGUAAAGCUCUGUUGUUAGAGAAGAACAGCGCAUAGAGUAACUGUUAUGCGUGUGACGGUAUCUAACCAGAAAGCCACGGCUAACUACGUG